This 433-nucleotide ribosomal RNA is filed under the name uncultured bacterium. RNAcentral describes it as "partial 16S ribosomal RNA". It matches the Rfam family "Bacterial small subunit ribosomal RNA", at positions 29 to 507 of the family's 1533-position model. The record is from RNAcentral.
AACGAACGCUGGCGGCAUGCCUAACACAUGCAAGUCGAACGAGACCUUCGGGUCUAGUGGCGCACGGGUGCGUAACGCGUGGGAACCUGCCCUUAGGUUCGGAAUAACUCCCCGAAAGGGGUGCUAAUACCGGAUAAUGUCUUCGGACCAAAGAUUUAUCGCCUUUGGAUGGGCCCGCGUUGGAUUAGCUAGUUGGUAGGGUAAAAGCCUACCAAGGCGACGAUCGAUAGCUGGUCUGAGAGGAGGAUCAGCCACACUGGGACUGAGACACGGCCCAGACUCCUACGGGAGGCAGCAGUGGGGAAUAUUGGACAAUGGGCGAAAGCCUGAUCCAGCACUGCCGCGUGAGUGAUGAAGGCCUUAGGGUUGUAAAGCUCUUUUACCCGGGAUGAUAAUGACAGUACCGGGAGAAUAAGCUCCGGCUAACUCCGUG